This 468-nucleotide ribosomal RNA is filed under the name uncultured bacterium. Its description in RNAcentral is "partial 16S ribosomal RNA". It matches the Rfam family "Bacterial small subunit ribosomal RNA", at positions 28 to 507 of the family's 1533-position model. The record is from RNAcentral.
GACGAACGCUGGCGGCGUGCUUAACACAUGCAAGUCGAACGGUGAAGCCCUGCUUUUUUUGGGUGCUCGGGUUGAGAGCGGGAGGGUUACGUAAGAGUAGCCUACCCUUCCCUUUGGUAUAACUUAAGGACACGGGGGCUUAUCCAAGACGGGAGAUUCUGCUGCUUGGUGGUGGUGGGACAGUUUCGGCGGUUGGUGAGGGACGGGCGGCUUAUCAGCGUGUUGGUGGGGUAGUGGCUGACCAGGGCUUUCACGGGUGGACGGCCUGAGAGGGUGACCGGCCAGAUUGGGACUGAGAUGCGGCGCAGCCGCCUACGGUAGGGAGCAGUGGGGAAAAGUGUGCAACGGGCGCAAGGCUGAUGCAGCGAAGCCGCGUGCGGGAUGACGGCCUUCGGGUUGUAAACCGCUUUUGCCUGGGAUGAAGCUGGAGUGACGGUAGUUGGUAAAGAAGCGCCGGCUAACUACGUG